CAUUUAUUUAGGAGCGGAGACAGCUUAGCUUUGUCUUCUCCUAAAUAUUAUGAAGGAGGAAAAAAUGGGCAUGCUCCCCUUUUAGCUCAAGGGUGAUUGAGGGGAGAAGUCCUGUGCAUUGUAUAAUGGAGAGGAAGAGAUGGAGGUGGAAGGGUGUCUGUCUGUGGAUGGAUACAUGCACCCUCCCUGCCAGAACCCUGGGCUUUGAAUUGCUAGGUCACAGUCAUCUUCUGUAACAUGAUGCCAAGCCACUGUAUGUAAGGAAAAGAAUUCUCCUUUUAUUAAGUUUCUAAAUGACCUCAUAUAAAAUGUCCAGAAUAUAGCCCCAGAUGACUUUAUAAGGAAACAAAGCUGACCUGAACAAAAGAAACAAAUCUUGGAUGGUUAUGAACCUUCCUGAAUUCCAUGUGCUCAUCCUUUCCAUUGGCUCUCCAUUUCCUCUAAGAUAGAAUAUACAUUCCUUAGCUUAGCUUGGCAUCUAAGCCCUUCCACAGUUUUACUCCCACUUUUCCUUCCUUCCUUCCUUCCUUCCUUCCUUCCUUCCUUCCUUCCUUCCUUCCUUCCUUCCUUCCUUCCUUCCUUCCUUCCUUCCUUCCUUCCUUCCUUCCUUCCUCUUCCUUCCUUCCUCUUCCUUUCUUUUCUUUCUUUCUUUCUUUCUUUCUUUCUUUCUUUCUUUCUUUCUUUCUUUCUUUCUUUCUUUCUUUCUUUCUUUCUUUCUUUCUUUCUUUCUUUCUUUCUUUCUUUCUUUCUUUCUUUCUUUCUUUCUUUCUUUCUUUCUUUCUUUCUUUCUUUCUUUCUUUCUUUCCUUCUUUCUUUCUUUCUUUCUUUCUUUCUUUCUUUCUUUCUUUCUUUCUUUCUUUCUUUCUUUCUUUCUUUCUUUCUUUCUUUCUUUCUUUCUUAUUUAAUUAGUCAAUUUAGAAUAUUUUCCCUUGGUUACAAGAUUCAUGUUCUUUCCCUCCCCUCCUUCCACCCCUUCCCAUAGCUGACAUGCAAUUCCACUGGGUUUUACAUGUGUCAUUGAUCAAAACCCAUUUCCAUAUUGUUGAUGUUUGCACUAGGGUGAUCAUUUAGAAUCUAUAUCCCCAAUCAUAUCCCCCUCGACCCAUAUGAUCAAGCAGUUGUUUUUCUUUUGUGUUUCUAAUUUCACAGUUCUUUCUCUGGGUGUGGAGAGCAUUCUUUAUCAUAUGUCCCUUGGAAUUGUCCUGGAUCAUUGUAUUGCUGCUAGUAGAGAAGUCCAUUACAUUAGAUUGUACCACAGUGUAUCAGACUCUAUUUAUAAUGUUCUGGUUCUGCUCCUUUUACUCUGCAUCAAUUCCUGGAGGUCUUUCCAGUUCACAUGGAAUUCCUCCACUUUAUUAUUCCCUUCAGCACAAUAAUAUUCCAUCACCAGCAUAUACCACAACUUGUUCAGCCAUUCCUCAAUUGAAGGGUAUCCCCUCAUUUUCCAAUUUUUGC
RNAcentral lists this long non-coding RNA (1455 nucleotides) under Monodelphis domestica (gray short-tailed opossum). RNAcentral describes it as "lncRNA (ENSMODG00000048945.1)". Lineage: Eukaryota; Metazoa; Chordata; Mammalia; Didelphimorphia; Didelphidae. The record is from RNAcentral.